This 759-nucleotide long non-coding RNA is filed under the name Zonotrichia albicollis (white-throated sparrow). RNAcentral's name for it is "lncRNA (ENSZALG00000009943.1)". The record is from RNAcentral. Lineage: Eukaryota; Metazoa; Chordata; Aves; Passeriformes; Passerellidae.
UGCGAGUAUUGGUCUGAAGCAGGCUUGAAUCUUUGUGCCCCAGAGGCUAGAGAAGGAGGAGUGUGUCACCCAUCUGGAGGUCAGACAAGGCGACAGACUUCCAGGCUUGAGCACCAGUUCUGCUGCUGGAACACAAGGAUGAAGAGUUUCUUCAGACACUUCAUGUGCACUUUUCCUAGGAGAUUGUGAACUGGAGUGCUCUGGCAUGUUUGCCUUGCUCACCAGGCCAGAGAUGCAGUGGGACAAGUGACAAAGGGGACAAUUCAAAGAUCAGACCAUCAAAGAGCAAUGAUGCCUUCAGAAGAGAAGUUUGGCAAGUACAUAAAGGAUUAUAUUUAAUUAUACUUAAAUUUGAUAGUACUAGGAUUUUAUUCUCUAGGACAAAACUUUCAUUCACAGUUGCAGCAAUUUGCACUUUUCAGCAGAAAAGAGCUUGUUUGAUUCUGUUACUCAGCAUCAGCUCUGACGGACAAGUGUGGUGCCUGAGCAAAAAAAAAAAGCUGAGAAGAAAGUGGAAGAGGGAGAAAAUAAAAACAGGUGGCAAGGGGCCCAGGAACAAUAAAAGCCUGAAUGAGAACACCUUUAUCACUUUUGCAACAGCAGCUUAAAGGCCCAAGGAGAGAAAUAGAUUUUGUAAAUCAGACUAAAUAUUUUUUACAGGGUGCAGUGUGCAGCUUAAGAACCCAGCUGGGAAAAAUAGCUCCUGCAAAUCAGUGAAGAAACCAUAUUUUACUGGCUGCUGUUUAGGAGCAAGGAGAG